Paramormyrops kingsleyae is the source of this 205-nucleotide long non-coding RNA. RefSeq lists it as uncharacterized. Lineage: Eukaryota; Metazoa; Chordata; Actinopteri; Osteoglossiformes; Mormyridae. The record is from RefSeq and is a predicted model, not a curated record.
CAUAAAGUCCGCAGGCACUUUCGCUUCCUUAUGCACGCGCCUCUGUCCCCGGGUCCUAUCCCCCUCCUACAAGACUUGGUGGGCUAAGAAACCUCUUGAUACAUUCGUAAAGAGAAGCAAUUAUUUGUCUUGCAGUUAGAACCAUGCAUUUCACUGCAAACUGGACCGAGUAUCUGGACCUAUUCUACCUCACGUGUCCCAUCCU